Molecule: long non-coding RNA, 1104 nt
Filed under: Sus scrofa (pig)
Lineage: Eukaryota; Metazoa; Chordata; Mammalia; Artiodactyla; Suidae
Description: lncRNA (ENSSSCG00070023302.1)
Source: RNAcentral
AUGAGGAUGCGAGUUCAAUCCCUGGCCUUGCUCAGUGGGUUAAGGACCCGGUGUUGCCAUGAGCUGUGGUACAGGUCACAAAUAUGGCUCAGAUCUGGUGUUGCUGUAGCUGUAGCUCUGAUUAAGACCCCUAGCCUGGAAACCUCCACAUGGGUGUGGCCCUUAAAAAAAAUCUGUAAUUAUAGAGUAAGGUUCACAUCUAUUAUUGGGAAGAGAAACAAAACACCUGCAACCAAGUGGGCAGUAACUCUUCCAGGUGGUGUGUUUCAGCUCCAGGUUGGGAGAUCUGAAGGAUAGUGACCAUAUCUUCUGAACCCCAAACUAUGUCACAUUAGCCAAGAAGGGGGUAAACGAUCAGGUCUUGGUGGGGAAGGGUCCAUGGCCAGACCAUAGCCAGCAUCAUGCUAUUUAUUGUGUGUCCAUCUUUCUGCUCCCAAGAAGCCCUAGGAGAACUGGAACAGUUCUUUAUUUCUUUGUGUGGCUGGGAUGGCCUGGCAGUGGAAGGGCAAGAUCAGAUUUCCAAGCUCCCUCCCAAAAGGAAGAGGCUUCUCUCCAAGGUAGCAGAAAAGGGGUAGAGUGAAGGUUCCCCUCAGCAGAGAGGGCACCCCUGUGGACAGGACAGGCCUACCAAGGAAAGCUGAGGCCAGACAGCUGGGAUUUCUCAGGCAAUCCUUUAAAGAUGCUAAUGGAACACUCUGGGUACCACAUACAAACCUCCUCCAUUCAUCUGUGGCAGAAGUUCCUUUGUUAGUGAAAAAAAUUGCCUCUCUCCUGGGUACCCGAUUUGGUAGGCAGGACUUUUAGGGGACAUCAAAGGUUUCACACAACAGGCAAGUGCUAUACCUCUUUAUUUUUACUUCUUUAAUUUUUUUGCUUGUUCCGCUUUUUUUUUUUUUUCUUUUUUCUUUUCUUUUUUUUUUUUUUUAAGGCCCGCACCCACAGCAUAUGGAAGUUCCCAGGCAAGGGGCUGCAUCCGAGCUAUAGCUAUUGGCCUACACCACAGCCAUAGCAACGUGGGAUCCAAGCCUUGUCUGUGACCUACAUCACAGCUUUUGGCAAUGCCGGAUCCCCAACCCUUAACCCACUGAGUGAGGCCAGGGAUCA